UACGUAGGGCGCAAGCGUUAUCCGGAAUUAUUGGGCGUAAAGAGCUCGUAGGCGGUUUGUCGCGUCUGCCGUGAAAGUCCGGGGCUCAACUUCGGAUCUGCGGUGGGUACGGGCAGACUAGAGUGAUGUAGGGGAGACUGGAAUUCCUGGUGUAGCGGUGAAAUGCGCAGAUAUCAGGAGGAACACCGAUGGCGAAGGCAGGUCUCUGGGCAAUAACUGACGCUGAGGAGCGAAAGCAUGGGGAGCGAACAGG
RNAcentral lists this ribosomal RNA (253 nucleotides) under uncultured bacterium. Its description in RNAcentral is "partial 16S ribosomal RNA". It matches the Rfam family "Bacterial small subunit ribosomal RNA", at positions 524 to 776 of the family's 1533-position model. The record is from RNAcentral.